GCCUCGGUGGAGUCGCUGUUGGACUCACAAUCCAAAGGUCGUCAGUUCGAAUCCCGGGGUG
Molecule: transfer RNA, 61 nt
Filed under: Culex quinquefasciatus (southern house mosquito)
Lineage: Eukaryota; Metazoa; Arthropoda; Insecta; Diptera; Culicidae
Description: tRNA-Val
Source: RNAcentral